UUUUUUUUCAGUGUGAUCCCAGAGUGGCAGAGAUAUAGAGUAGGUUUUUAGAGAGCGCCGGGCCAUGGCUGGAGGCAGCAGCUCACGCGAUGAGACGGUCACGUCUGAUUUCACGAUUUGAUCAAUGUAUUGUUAUUUUCUGUGUGCGUGGAGAACUGGAGAUCGACGACUUUGCACGCACUGCAGUCUGAGUGCAGAACUGCAGCACGGAUCGAGCUUGCAUGCGUUGGGAAUGAUUUAUUGUUUGCACAGUGGAGUGGAGUACGUGCUGUACAUACGUACCGGUGGCACUAUCAACCACUUGUAGCUCUCUCUGGUUCCGACGCACCGAGCCGAUGGGUGGUGGUAGUAGCCACGGUAGAGUAGAGCACUGCAGAUGCAUGCAGGGAGAUGAGACGGGGUACGGGCGCGAGCGAUUCCCGGGGGGACCUGACCUCAUCUGACGGAUGGGACGUGCACACAAGCGUUGCUUCAUCCUGCAAUUUCUUCUCUCUUUUUUUCGUGCAAUUUCUUCUUUUUCUUUUAGCCUGUUGUUUUCUGGCUAGCGCUUCUUCUUUUCUUUUUCAUUUCCCCCUUUUUAAUGCACGUGUACCUUUUCUAUACAGAAAUGACAAAUCACGAAUGUUGAGAUUUUAAGCAUGGCAAUCCGAACGUUUUUCAUGGCAACUUUAGUUCACGCGAGAUUGGCAAACAAAGGCAAUUUUCUGACAUAAAAUCAAAGGACAAAGUUAUCAUGUUUUAACAACUAAAGUUGCCACCACGCGUCAACUAAAGUUACCAUAAGAAAACGUUCGGGGUGACAUACUUAAAAUCCGAACGUUCGGGAUUUAUGGGGGUCCUUUCUAUAUGCAUAAGGUUUCGUGAGUUGUGCAAUGUUCGGAUUCGGAUCAAGUAGAAGGAAAUACUGCUGUAAAAUGGUACCGAUUCUAAUGAGGUUCUCGUUGUUAGUUCAAUGGGCCUUCCAGCCACUCGUUUUUUUAAUUGUUUGAAUUGCUUACAACAUGUGUCACGUGGUCAUCCAGCCACUCGGUUUGUUCAUGGGAGCUAUAUCUCACAUUAAGCUAGUUGGAAGGAUCUCAUGGCGGCCCAUUAGCUUACACCGAAAAUACAAAUCGAGAAGAAUAAGGGCGAGUGCCGGGAGUCCAUCCCAGGAUCUCCUAGAUAGUAGACAAAGCUGCUUGCCGCUGGGUUAGCUUCCCUUUCAUGAUAAACAGCAGAGGGGCAACCUACUUGAGAGGAAAACGAUCCGUUUUUGCAUUGGUUUUUCCGGCUUUUUUGUUUUUAUUUUUUCAUCGGGUUUUCUUUGUUUCUUUUCUCUGUUUUCACUGGGUUUACUUUAUUUAUUUUUUCUUUGAUUUUCUUUGGUUCUUUUCUCCAGCUUUCACUUGUUUUUUCUUUUCUUUCUUUUUUUCUUCAUUUUCUUUUGGNNNNNNNNNNNNNNNNNNNNNNNNNNNNNNNNNNNNNNNNNNNNNNNNNNNNNNNNNNNNNNNNNNNNNNNNNNNNNNNNNNNNNNNNNNNNNNNNNNNNNNNNNNNNNNNNNNNNNNNNNNNNNNNNNNNNNNNNNNNNNNNNNNNNNNNNNNNNNNNNNNNNNNNNNNNNNNNNNNNNNNNNNNNNNNNNNNNNNNNNNNNNNNNNNNNNNNNNNNNNNNNNNNNNNNNNNNNNNNNNNNNNNNNNNNNNNNNNNNNNNNNNNNNNNNNNNNNNNNNNNNNNNNNNNNNNNNNNNNNNNNNNNNNNNNNNNNNNNNNNNNNNNNNNNNNNNNNNNNNNNNNNNNNNNNNNNNNNNNNNNNNNNNNNNNNACAUGAUCAAAUAUUUUCAUUGUGUUUUAACACAUGGUCAAUACUUUUUCUGUACACAUUUAAUAUUUUUUAAAUGCUUGAUUAGAAUUUUUUAAAUACUUGUUCAACAUUUUUGUUCAAAUGCUUGAUUAAAAUAUUUAUAUACAUGGUCAUUUUUUCUCAUCAUUUUUAAUACAUUGUGAACAUUUUUUCUAUACACAUUUAACAUUUUAGUAAUGUUGGAUUAACAUUUUUGAAAUACUUGUUCAACAUAUUUUUAAAUGCUUGAUUAAUAUUUUUAUAUACACGAAAAAAUUCAUCAUUUUUUAAUACAUACCCAACAUUUUUUCUAUACACAUUUAACAUUCUUUGAAUGCAUGGUUAACAUUUCGCAAAACAUUAUGUAAAUUAUAUAUUUGUAAUGUAUAUAUUUAGAAUAUUUGAAGCGUAAAUGAAAGUAAAAAAGGAAAUCACAAAACAAAAAACGUAAAAAAAUCAUUAACAAAAAUGAGGCACUGGCGUCCUGCACACUGGUUCAACCCAUACGCUCGUGCGACUGAGAGGCGUUCAGCGAGUACGAAGCCCGUUUCACGUAACGCGAGACAUAGUCGGGCCCUUUGUUCACUGCAUCCUAACAUAACUCUGCAAGCCCAUAAUCUGGGCAUUCCAUCCUUCCUUGGUUAGGCCCCGGAUGGUCCAGAGGUACAUAUAGGCCGUGGGCGCAGAUGUGUCUCGCUUACAUGGGCAUAGUCCAGAAAAAGCGAGCAAGCGCAGGAGUGUUUUUUUUACUUCAUUUUUAUAUUUUGUCGGUUUAACUUUAAUUUUAAAAGUAUGCGUAAAUAUAAAAAAAGUUUGUCAAUUUUUAAAAUAUUUUCAAAUAAAAAUGUUGUGCCUUUUAAAGAAGUUCUAAAAAAUACAUGUAUUUGAAGAUUUGUCCACGAAUUCAAAUAAUGUUCAUGGAUUAAAAAAUAUCCAUGAUUUUGAACAGUGAUCCUGAAUUAAAAAAUGAAAGUGACUUGAAAAAUGUUCAUGAAUUUUAAAGGUUAAAAGGAAAAGAACGAUAAAACAAAAAAUUGAAAGAAAACCAAAAAACAGAUGAAAAAACCUUUUGGAACCUUUCCAAAACCAGGCGAAGGGUUACAAACGCUUCCCGAAACCAGAAACUGGCCCCCUACUCUCAGGUUAGCCCACUUCAACCGUAGGGGAACCCAUAGAAAACGGUUGUAACAAACGAUAUAUAGUAGUCGUGGUGGCCAUGAACUUGGCAAGCGUCGACCUUCCCAUAUUGCAUUGAAUGCCCGCUUGAAGUCCUCUACGUCGAACGAAAGACUUCCUGGUCAAAAGUGUUCAUCACACCUAAACACGACUAUGAGCUAGAUCUACACAAUUGGCGUUGUCGAUGACCCAAGAACAAUACCGAAGAAACUACAAGAAACCGGCUUGAUUGGACACUUUCAUUUUGCUAAGUAGUGCAUAUUUGGCCCAAAUUUAUUAGUGAGCAAGCCUUGUUGGAUAAGGAAAUCGUGUUGUGUGGCACAUGAGGAAGAUUAAAGCCGAUACAACGAAGAAAAUCAAUACAAUUCACAUAAUGUUAAUUUCACCCCAUAAUUUAUUUACGUACUAUAGGCCUGUUUGAGAGUGCUCCUCUCCUUAAAUUCAUCUCCACUCUAGAAAACAUAAGCCAAGCUCAGCUUAUAAGUUAUAAUGUUUGGCGCACACUUAUAAGUUAAAGCAUAACAUCGGUAUUUAUAAAUACCGGUGUUAUAACUUAUAAUGUUUUCCAUCUUUUGUUGCAUUGCUUUAGCUUGGCGGAGUAACUUAUAAUAAUGUCAUGGAUACGACACUAGUGUAAGUUACUAUCUUCGUAGUGCAAAGUCUCAUGGUAGUGUCAUAGAUGUCUUCAUUUAUUAGCUUGACCAAUGAUAAAAUUAUUAGGGCCCAAUAAUUUUUUGAGAUAGCCUUUGACCAAUGAUAAAAUUAUUAGUUUAUGAAAUGUAUGAUAUAAAAAUUGUAUCACUAGAGACUCAUUUCACAUAUGAAUUCGAUGAUAUGCUUUGCGUAACAUGCAUGUCACAUAUUAUUAUGCUAAUCCAUGGUCAAAGGUAAUCUCAAAAAACAUACUAGGCCCUAUAUAUGUGAAUAGAGGGAGUAUGUUACUCCAGUCGUGGUACCAUAACUAACCACUUGACACAUAAAUAAAUUUGUCUUGAAAUGUGUUAUGUUACUAGCUAAAUUACUUUCACCCCGCAAAAAGAAAAUGACAUAGUUAGAGCAACUCUAGCAAACCCCGCAUCCCGCCCCGACCCGCAAAAUAACCGCCAAAUUACGGGUCGGGGCGGAAAAACCUGCCCGAUCAGACCCCGCAUCCCGCCCGGCCUGCAAAUAUUUUUGCGGGGCGCGGCGAAUCUUCUCCCCCAACCUCUAUCUUCACGGGCUGGGAGGCCGACCCGAGCUCAACCCCUAUCCGCGGCGAGAUUUGGCGGGAGGGACAUUUUCACGCGCCCUUUCCCGCUCCCCGCACCCUCCGCCACCAUUGCCCCGCCUCCGCAAGCUCCGGUGCUUCCUCCCCGGCCGUCCCUCGCCGCCAUGGACGACCCCAUGCUGUCCCCCAUCACCGUCGAGGUCACGCACGCUCCAUCCUCUCGGGUGGAUCUCGUCGCCGGCCAUGUUGGCCCCGCCGCCGUCGCCCAAGCAAACGCCGCGCCUGCCCGCAAGCGGCAGGGUAAUGUGGUCGUGCAGGGCGGGUAUCCGGCUGUCCCCGCCACGAUGGCCCGCGCUCCGGGCGCCAACGCGGCAGCGCGAUCCCGGCCGACGGCGGAGAAGGUCAGCAAGGUCGCGGGCGUAAAGCGGAGGAAGAUUCCGGCUACAAAGAAGCCACCUUCUUCAUCCUCUCACUCCAUCCCCCCGAAGGAGGUGCUCCGGCGAUGCCGUUCAACGGUGCCGCUGCUCCCGCAAGUGAGGUGUUCGACGAAAUGGCCGGAAGGUAUGCGUCUUCGAUCUUGGCGAUUUCCUUUCAUUUCCGCCAUUAUUCUCGAUAGCUCGUGACUUGCUAUCAUUCGCUAUAGCGGUGGUUCGAACAAUGCAACAACCGAGUUCGUGAACUUGUUGGACACGAACGCGGUUGACAUUGAUCAAGCCCCUUUCGAACCAUUCGACUACAAUGAAACGAAGGGCAGCGUGGAUGAUCAUGGUUGUGCGGACGAAUUGGAGGAGAUCGAAGCGGAAGCGUAUGAGCAAUCGCAAGCAAAAACUGGGAAAAGCCAAAGAUCGAAGAACUACACGAUCUUGGAAGAUCAAGCUUUGAUCAAAGCAUGGAGUGCGGUGUCUCUUGAUGCAUGCACGGGUACUUCUCAAACCGCCAAGAGAUAUUGGCAAAGGAUCGAAGAUCAAUACUUCCGCAUUAUGGCAAAGCAUCCCAAUAGGACUCCACGCACAUUUCGGCCGCUUCAAGGGCGUUGGGAGAAUAUCAAGCCUAUGUGCAGCCGUUGGGCAGUUUGCUUGGAGCAAGUACGCAAUGCACCUCCAAGUGGCACCGUGGAGUCCGACUAUGUGAGUUUGUUUUGCCUUUGUUCAAGUUAUGCAUCAUCAUAUUGCAUCAUGGGAAAUGAUUGCAUCACUUUGUUCACAUUGUGUAGGACAAGAUUGCUCAACAUAGAUACAAGGACAUGGAAGCUUCGGAAGGCAGAUUCUUCAAACUAGAGCAUUAUUGGGAGUUGCUCCAAAAUUGUGAGAAGUGGAAGUUGAUCGACAAAGAAUCCCCACCAAAGAGAGGCUCACUUACAAACAUGGAUGAAGAUGAGGAUGAUGAUGGCCCAAGAAAUUUGCACAAGCCCGAUGGCGACAAGAAGACUAAGGAGAAGAUAAAAAGAGAGCAAGAAGCAUCGAGCUUGGCUAUUGUUUUCGCGUUUGUCCUGUUGAACUUGGCUUUUGUUUGUCCUGUUUUGUGUUUGCCCUCUUUUGCGUUUGUCUUAUUGAACUUGGCUUUUGUUUGCGCGUAAAACUGUGUUAUGUCGUUUGAAUUUGAACUUAUGUGUCGAAACCUAUGCCAAAUGCGAGAAAUGCCGUUUUCUGUUUGCGGAUCGUCGCGGCGGUGUCCAAGCAGAGCCCGCAGAAGCCGGCCCGUAAAAAGGUAUAUUACGCGAAUAUACUUUUUUACGGAUCCGUUUGGGGGGUCUGCAUCUGUGCCAGCUCAAGCCAGCCCGCAAAAACGAUUUUAGCGAACUGUAAACGUGUUUUGCGGGCCGACGGGAUGCGGGUUUGCUAGAGUUGCUCUCAGAUAGUCCAAGUCAACUUCCAUAUGCAUUGCCCUCGUCACCACGUGUGGCCUCCAAUAAAUGCUUAUCCAGGGAAGCAUCCAAACUUGCUGUUGCAGAUAAUUUAACAAUCUCUAUACCACCCGCGUCAUAAAGCGUGAUCAAUCCCAUGGCAAUCCGGGCAAAACCUACCGCCGAUGACUGAGCAUACGAAAGGAUCCUCUAUGAGUGCACUCUAGCUAUGCGCCUGCGGUCUAGCACACUGCAGAAAAUGAGCUGACUGGACUCACUCUUUCACGCGGUACUUACUUUGCAAUGCGGUUUUCUAGUUCUAGAGAAAUUAAUAUUUUUAUUCUAAUGUCCACGAUGAAUAGAUAAAGUGUUUUUUAACACGGUACAAACGAUCCUACACACGCAUACACGCACUCUUAUCUCUUAUGAAUGCUUGCACACACAUUCUAUCUUAUGAACACCUUCGAGAUACUGAGCCGGCACAAUAUAUUGCGAUUAAAAAAGUCAUCACGGAUACCUUCGUAGUCGACGGGAACUUCUACUCCCACUGAACGAUCAUUGCCGAAAAGUCUGAAAUAAAUCCAGAAAACUGCAGGAGCGGUGCUAAGUCUAAAACUUGAACCCUAUGGCUGGUUUCAUCAAAAAAAUCUAACCAUCUGAAUUACACUCAGUUCGUUAUCAAUAAAGUUACCGAUUUUUGUACAACAGUACAAGUGCAAGUGAUUAACAGAUCAUCCUGCGGCUAUGGAUAUCAAACCUAAUAACUAUAUCCAUAUUGACCGAGAAAUAACCAUUCCCAAAAGAUAAUGUCAAGUCAUAACGGUUCGACCCCCGCGUCGCCUCUGCUCUGGCGACACGGGGGAGCCCCUACCAGCGCCGCCACCUCUCCCCUCCUCCCCCUUCCUUCGUCUCGCCGCCGCCUGAGGAGCCCGCCGGCAAAGCCCGGGCAGGCUCCAGGGAGGCUGGCGGCGGGGCACCUCGCUGGGUGGCGCGACACGCGGAUCCUGGCCGCUCGGGCGCGAUUCGGCGGCGACUGGCGUCGCGGAGGCUGCUCCGGGUGUCCGGCGGCGUCGGCCCUCGGUGUUGCUCCAUUGCUCCGGCGCGGGCGGUGGGACGCGGCAGAGGGGCGGCGGAAGGCGCGUGGCGGCCGGAUCUGGCCGGCCUAGGUCGGAUUCGGAGUGGCAGCGGCUGGGCGCGUCGUCAGAGGUGGUUGGCGGGGUGCGGGGAGGUCUGCGGUGGUCGUUGUGGCGGGCUACAUUGGCGCGCGAGCGGUGGCGUCGUCUCGGGGCGUCUACAGCUCGCAGCGGAGCCGGUGGUAGGAGGGGGCCCGAGCAGCAGCUGCACAAGGGGCUCGGGCGCCGUGGUUCUGGCGUCGAGCGGGGUCUGGGAGGUGGUGUUGUGUUUGCCGGCGCGGUUGCGAGGUGCGGCAGCAGCUGCUGGACGAGGUGGAGCCGGUGGAAGUCGACCAUGGGGAUUGUGCUCUGUGCAAUGCUUCGGAUCUGCUCGGAUUCAGAGGUGUGAAGGAGCUCCGGGCGAAAGUCUUGCACUGACCUUGGGUCGGUGCCGGCAAAAGUGGCGCCAUGGCCAUGGUGUCAUUCCCCUUCUUGAAGGUGUUGCCAUGGAGCUCCAUUACACAACUCUCCGGGAGAAAUCCCUAGCUUCGGUUGGUCGAAGCGGACGAUGACGGCGGCUACGUCGUUUCCUUCUUUGAGGCAUCGCCUUGGAGAGUCAGCAUGUUGCAGUUUGCACGGAUCUCCUCGUCGUCGGGGACAGUGGACGUCGGGGCGGCGGCUCCGGAUGGUUUCUGAUUGUGCGUCGAGAUGGCGAUCUCGAGAACAAUGUGGGUCGUAGCUCUAUGAGGUGGGUUCUAUCUCGACAUUGGUUGGGUGGCAUCCUUGUCCCGCUUGGGUGGUAGGGGUGUCGGCUCGGUCGAUGCGCCCCAGAGUGGGCGGUCUGACUUUACGUCGGGGCGGCAGCCCCGGAUGUGGUGCGACGUUCGUGGUCUGCGAGCGGUUGCCCUGAGCAGCGUGGGCUGCGGGCAGCUGGGUUGUGCGGCGUUGCUGCUCGAGGGGAGUGGUGGUAUGUCGGGGCGGCGGCCCUGGAAGGCGGUGCUGGUUGAUUGCGCUGGGCGCGACGGAGCGGUGGAUGUCGGGGCGGCGGCCCCGAGAGAAUCACUGUGGCUACCAGACUUUUGUGGCAACGACGAUGGUGGGAGCGAUGUCGGCGACGCGGCAAUGGUUGCGGUAGUCGGCUCUUCUUCGGCGUGUCCACGGUUUUGCUUCGGUUUGCUUGUUGCUGUGGAGUCGAAGUUGCGGCGGCGGGGCCCUGUGGUGUACGAUGACCGGCUGUAGGUGGCCCGUUCGGCGAUAUUCCGUGGCGCCAGCCGUGCCUGGUUUUGUUCUUCUGAGUUCUUCGUCAGAGUCGGAGCUGCGUUAUCUGGCCGCAUGUCGACUUGUCGUUGAUUAGAGUGGGCUUUGCCCUGUGUGUUUAGGUCUAUGGGAGUGGGCUUGGCCCUUGUUGUUCCGGGUUUUGCCCGGUUUUCCGUAAUUAACUUGGCAAUUCUCUUCUGCUUAAUUAAUAGACGAGGUAAUCUUUGCCUAUGUUUCGAAAAAAAUGUCAUUUUUAGCUUUUUUUAGUGAAAUGCCCUUAUUAUUUAAGCUUAAGAAAACAAGUAUGUGCAUGUAUGGUCGUUAUACCACAUUUGACUAGAAAAAAAUAAAAGCCAUCUAGCAGAAUAGUAGUAGUACCGGUUGAACACAUUUUUUUGAGAAAACUUCCAAUCCAUUCAAUCAUGACAGUACAAAUAAUAACAGAGGUAAUAAAACUUAUAACCAUGUCCGUGGACCACCUAGCAACGACUACAAGCACAGGAGUGAGCCGAAGGCGCGCCGCCGUCAUCGCCCCUCACCGAAGUCGGACAAAUCUUAUUGUAGUAGAUAGUUGGAAAGUCGUCGUGCUAAGACUCCAUAGGACCAACGCACCAGAGUAGCAACCAUCGCCGACGAAGAAAGUCGUAGAUUAGAAAGAUCAAACCUGUAAACACCCAAACGAAGACGAACGAAGACCGGAUCGAAGCAGGUCUACCGAAGAUUAGCACCGGCCGAAUCUCGCGAGAUCCUGCACACGCCCUCCGACGAUGCUACGCACACCACCGGGACGGGAAUAUAACGUGAAAGACAUUAUUCCUACUAAUAGACAUAGCCGCCGCCACACAGCCCCAACCAGGACGCUGAAUCUAACAAGAACAAGAACGGGGUCCCUCCCGCCGGCGGGGAUCAUGAUCCUCCGCACCUUCAUGGCCUAGAGACCAUCGUUGUUGGGGCAGACCGGCGGCGGGAUCGACGGGAGGAGAAGAGCUUUUCUUGUGAAGGGGAAAAGAGAUGGAAGAAUAAAUGUAUCAGUCCAACACCCAUUUGACCAUGAGCAAUAAAUAAAUAAAUAAAUACUAUAGCAUCGUUCACGUUUUUUGCACCACAACAUCCAUUUAAUUAACGAAGGAAUUAUCAGAAUCCCCUGAUCUUGACCAGUCCACCACAAAACAUCCAUUUACAGGCUGUUCCCCCCAAACGGCUCCGGCCCGCAGAGAAUCCGGGUCACCAGCCUCCACCUUCCUUCCCACUUCCAAUGCAGAAAUGCAGACGUUUGCUGGGCACGUGUUCCCUCUCCUCGACACGCCUCCCUCUCCUCCUCGCAGUCCCCUCAUCUGACCAAAGCUCCUCCGAGUCAUUUCCCCUCUCUGUCCAUCCGCUACCGCUUCUUCGUGAUCUCUAGCCCUAUCAACGAAUUGUCCCUCCACCCCGCGAUCGCAAGCUCGCCGCUUUGAUCCCCGCUUAGUUGUUGCGCACACACAGAGGGGAGAUGGAUGUGCAAUACCAUGAGGUGAGCAAACGCAACUCCAUCUGCAAAUGCAUGUCGACAUGCUCCAUCUCUGGGUUGCAAGCACGCAUCGCUAGCGACGGUGCAUGCGCGCGUGGUUGAAUCUUGAUCAUGUUCAUGAUGCGUUUGAUGGUUUUUCGACUGAUCCUGCAGGAGUACGUGAGGAAUCCGAGGGGGGUGCAGCUCUUCACAUGCGGCUGGCUGCCUGCUUCUUCCUCGCCCAAGGCGCUCGUCUUCCUUUGCCAUGGUACGUACUGCUCGUUGCUUAAUUUGCGAAUCGACCGCUGCCUAAGCUUUGCGCAUUGCCAACUUCAACAGUAGCUAUGACUAAUUCUGGUGGCUUCAUCGAUCAUACUACAUUGACUCUCUCUCUUUUUUUUCCUUGUAUGUGUGUCAAUUUGCUUCAGGGUAUGGCAUGGAAUGCAGCGUCUUCAUGAGAGGUACUAAUGCUGCUUAAUCUUCAUGGCUCUUGGUACCUAUCUCCGUUUAUUUCCUCUUUUGCUUUUGGAGGUAGUUUCAGAGAAAAUUCAAAAUUAAAAAAUAUGAUAAGGGGUAUGGAAGCCCUUCUACUACAAGAUAAUGUUUCAGGAAUUAUUUUCGGUGUGCGGUCGUACCAUAUGGGCCUAUAUUUAUUGAAUUCAUAUAUAUAUUUGUUCUUGCAUCAUCCAUGACUUCACAUGCAUGCACUGCGGAUCUAGGCUUCAUAUAUGUUAGUGCCACUGAUCCUUCUAGAUGCAUGCAUCAGCCUCAGUCUGGUUGUUAAUAGGAGUAUGGGAAUAGCAUGGGAGGCUACCAGCCUUCUUAUUUCCUUUCUGGUGAAUGCCAGGAGCAUUCUCUGGCCUAAUUUGAUCAUGUCCUCCAGUCAGAUUUAACAGUUACUCCCUCCGUCCCAUAAUAUGAGACCAUUUUUGACACUAACACUCUUAUAUUAUGGGACGGAUGGAGUAACCUUAACAUAGAAAGAGCGCUGUGGACUACACAGUUUCAUAGUAUCCCAAGUUCUUUCGAUGUUUGCUGAUCGUCAAACAAUUUUAAAUCUUUCCCUUUAGUGGAUCGAAACACAAGCUUUGCGUUUUCUCGAAAAACAUCAAAUUGCAUUGCAGUCUAGGGAAAGAUGGUAGAAGAGAAUUUUGUGUAAACAGAUUAGUGGCCACAGACCAUUAAUUGCCGUGUACUUUAAGGAAUAGGUUGCAGAUGCUGAUAGGGGACUACAACUACUUGCUGGUGAUAGAUACUGUGACUUCAUGAAUUGGACAGUUUUCGGUAGCAGAUGCUGCUAUAUAUACUUGCUGGUUGACAAUGGUCUUAUUCGAUCCAGUAUAUCCGUAAUUUUUUAACUAAUUGUCGAGGGUACAUGCAUGAAAAUCAUCUUGAAAACCAUGCUACUACAGAAAAGGAGUUGACAUAUGGCAGACAAGAACUGGUACUGUGCCUUUGCUAAUUAAUACUGGUCCUCUGCUCUAGGAAGAAGUAUUUUGCUCAUUGUAGGGUAGUCUCAAAUUCAGAUCAAUUACUUACCACCCAAAAAGAAUCGGAUCGUCAUUUAUUCUCUCAUUUGAUCUUCACACACACACACACACACAUAAUCUGCUGGCAUGGGAAAGCUGCUUUUGAUAAAGAGGGAAGAUGAUGAUGCCAACGCACUUCUGAAGUUCCACCACGGAAUAUAUUCGUUUGAUAAUUCCAGCAUAAAAGGUGAUUGCAACCUUAUAUUCGUGAGUGAUAUUGGUGAGCUGCAGCCAAGAUUGUUGGUUGCCGUAGAAGGUUAACUAACCUACCCACUUUUGGUAGCGUUUCGCCCGGAGAGUUUGAUUCAAACAGGCCACGGCUCCGUGGUUGGGUCUACGGUUGUGCCGCCUAUCCACCCGGAUUAGAUUUUAAUGGACUAAUUGAUCAACGCAUUGAUGAACUUUGCUUCUGUACACUUCCUAGAAAAGUUUACGAAUUUUGAUGCAGAUUAAAGGUCGAGAUUAGAAGGUACCCGUUCAAUAAUACUAGUAUACUGUUUUUGUAUUCCAAUCAAUCUAUUCAAUACGUUUGAUCUGCAGACUNNNNNNNNNNNNNNNNNNNNNNNNNNNNNNNNNNNNNNNNNNNNNNNNNNNNNNNNNNNNNNNNNNNNNNNNNNNNNNNNNNNNNNNNNNNNNNNNNNNNNNNNNNNNNNNNNNNNNNNNNNNNNNNNNNNNNNNNNNNNNNNNNNNNNNNNNNNNNNNNNNNNNNNNNNNNNNNNNNNNNNNNNNNNNNNNNNNNNNNNNNNNNNNNNNNNNNNNNNNNNNNNNNNNNNNNNNNNNNNNNNNNNNNNNNNNNNNNNNNNNNNNNNNNNNNNNNNNNNNNNNNNNNNNNNNNNNNNNNNNNNNNNNNNNNNAAUUCCAACAUAAAAGGCUAUGUAACCUUAUAUUCGAAGUGAUGGUGGCAAGCGGCGUAUAGGCUGUUUGGUGGCUGACUCGGAAGGUUAACUGACCCUCUACGAUAGUAUUUGGCAUAGAGUUUCAUUUAAACUAGAAGUGGCCGCACGCCUUGCGACGCUGAUUUUUGCUGUGGGCUCCACUUUGUCAGUGAGCAUAAUGAAGGAAUGCGGUGCAGAGCGGCAGAAGGCACUACGUCGUCGAACCCCUCCCCUCACCGAGCAACACGCACGCCCCCGCUCGGCCACACCCACAACCCUAGAAGAAAUCGGCUUACAAAGGCCAAACACCAUCAGACAACCGGGUCCCACACGGUACCCCAGCCCCGAUUCAGACAGAGCCUCCUAAAGCUCCAUUUCGAGGGUGCUUAGUACUCCCUCUGUCCCAUAAUAUAAGAGCGUUUUGACACUACACUGUAUCUGUAAAGACAAUACCUGAAAGCAAUAAUAGAGUGGUAAUCGUUAAUCAAUAGGAGAUGUUCAUUAGGUGUUGUUGUCAUGGACAUGGUAUGUUCCAUUUAUUCUGAAAUCCAUCUUCUGGAUAACCCGUCUCUACUUAUGGUACAUGGAUAUCUAAAAAUAGUUUGAGUUGCCAAACGAACAGACAGUAGGAAUGCCUUCGUAUUUGGAUAUGCACAAGUGUCCGUGUUAUGUGUUGACCCAUCUUUCAUGCACCUUAUUACUAAAAAACGAUGUUUGAUGCAACAAAUGUGUUGGACACAGUUUGCAUACAUCACAAACACUUGGUCAGAAGUUUGGGUUUUGAAACCUAUUGCGCUACCAUGGUUCCCGGUACAAGUUGCUAUCAUGCCCAGAAGCAGGAAAUGACAGUUUUGACUAGCAGCUACAAUCAAGAAACCAUUACUUGCGACUCUAAUCACUUUUAUUAACAAGCCUUUUAUUUAUGAUUGCAGACGUGGUCAUAUCUUUCUUCCAUUUCAAUCUGUUAAUUUUCAUAGUUUUAAGGCUCCAAACUGGUCUAUGCAUGUCGCUAUCGUUGCUUGGGUUCCGAUUGAAACACAAGAGAUUGAUCCUGUAUAUAUGAUGACGCAGCUGACUCCCGCUGUCUUGCAAGUUGUAACUGAUUGUUAUUGUUUCCUGACAGCUUGCGGGUUCAAAUUGGCCGCGGCUGGGUAUGGCGUGUUCGGGAUCGACUACGAAGGCUAUGGCAAGUCCAUGGGCGCCAGAUGCUACAUCCAGAAAUUCGACCGCCUCGUCGCCGACUGCGACCGCUUCUUCAAGUCCAUCUGCGGUAAUAGAAACGAACACAUUCAAGUCCCAAUACGAUCUCCAUAUGAAGGAUGCAUGAACCAGAUGCUGCAUUCUGUCUCUGUGUACAGACCUGGAGGAGUACCGGAGCAAGAGCCGGUUCCUGUACGGCGAGUCCAUGGGCGGCGCCGUCGCCCUGCUGCUGCACAGGAAGGACCCGGCCUUCUGGGACGGCGCCGUCCUCGUGGCGCCCAUGUGCAAGGUGCUGCCAUCAACUUCUACUGCCAUGAUGAUGAACUUCUACUGCAAUGCCUGCCUCUGCCUGCUAGCUCAAGUGUAGGUUGUUGUUUAUGGCGUUGCAGAUAUCGGAGAAGGUGAAGCCGCAUCCGGUGGUGGUGACCCUCCUGACGCAGGUGGAGGAGCUCAUCCCGACCUGGAAGAUCGUGCCCACCAAGGACGUGAUCGACUCCGCCUUCAAGGACCCCGUCAAGCGCGAAAACAUCAGGAGGAACAAGCUCAUCUACCAGGACAAGCCGCGGCUCAAGACGGCGCUGGAGCUGCUCAGGACCAGCAUGGACGUCGAGGACAGCCUCUCCGAGGUGACCAUGCCCUUCUUCAUCCUGCACGGCGAGGCCGACACCGUGACCGACCCGGAGGUCAGCCGCGCGCUGUACGACCGGGCCGCCAGCACCGACAAGACAAUCAAGCUCUACCCGGGGAUGUGGCACGGCCUCACCGCCGGCGAGCCAGACGACAAUGUGGAGCUGGUCUUUGCCGACAUCGUCGCCUGGCUCAACAAGCGCAGCCAUCACCGCAAGCCUGAACACGGCGGCCGGGUAACAAGCGCCCCGUCGGAGCCUGCAAGGUACCAACGGCGGCCGGUUUCCGGCGGCAGCGGCAUGGACAGCCCGGUGUCGAUGCCUCGGCGCCGAGGCCGCUUCCUCUGCGGGCAAUGUAGAAUGUAAACAUGCAACUGUUUUUGUAAGGAAAAAGAAGCAGCAGAUGAUGAAAGCAUGUAAAUAGUGUGCUGCACGAAUGCUCAGUAAACUGAAUAAAAUUUUGCUCCACUCUGAAGUUCUCUUGUGUUCUGACGAGACAUUAGCUUCCUGGAGCAGCUGGACUGAUGCACAUUUCUGAAACAACAUGUAAUGUAUACCAUAUAAUGCUAUCAUCUCAACAAAGAAUUAGAAGAUCCAGAUUUGAUUUAUAUAUCCAACAAUCCAACUGGGAUAUCUGUCCGUAUAGCUGAGACUGACGGAAAAGGCGACGACAAAAAUGAAUAACAUUACAUCAACAACCAAGGUAUUUAGCAGUAAAACUCUCGACGACGACUACGUGGCCAUAGCUCUGUCAGUGGGGGGGAUUAACCAAGAAGCAAGCUAGAAGCAGGCCACCAAAAUUUCAAAGUAUAGUACUCCGGUCUACUCUUUACUGGCCUUCG
Molecule: long non-coding RNA, 14969 nt
Filed under: Triticum aestivum (bread wheat)
Lineage: Eukaryota; Viridiplantae; Streptophyta; Magnoliopsida; Poales; Poaceae
Description: long non-coding RNA (TAES_LNC019428)
Source: RNAcentral